RNAcentral lists this ribosomal RNA (253 nucleotides) under uncultured bacterium. RNAcentral's name for it is "partial 16S ribosomal RNA". It matches the Rfam family "Bacterial small subunit ribosomal RNA", at positions 524 to 776 of the family's 1533-position model. The record is from RNAcentral.
UACGUAGGGUGCAAGCGUUAAUCGGAAUUACUGGGCGUAAAGCGUGCGCAGGCGGUUAUGUAGGACAGGUGUGAAAUCCCCGGGCUUAACCUGGGAACUGCAUUUGUGACUGCAUAGCUAGAGUACGGCAGAGGGGGAUGGAAUUCCGCGUGUAGCAGUGAAAUGCGUAGAUAUGCGGAGGAACACCGAUGGCGAAGGCAAUCCCCUGGGCCUGUACUGACGCUCAUGCACGAAAGCGUGGGGAGCAAACAGG